This 429-nucleotide ribosomal RNA is filed under the name Gemmatimonadota bacterium. Its description in RNAcentral is "Gemmatimonadetes bacterium partial 16S ribosomal RNA". It matches the Rfam family "Bacterial small subunit ribosomal RNA", at positions 355 to 776 of the family's 1533-position model. The record is from RNAcentral. Lineage: Bacteria; Pseudomonadati; Gemmatimonadota.
UAGGGAAUCUUCGGCAAUGGACGAAAGUCUGACCGAGCAACGCCGCGUGAGUGAAGAAGGUUUUCGGAUCGUAAAACUCUGUUGUUAGAGAAGAACAAGGACGUUAGUAACUGAACGUCCCCUGACGGUAUCUAACCAGAAAGCCACGGCUAACUACGUGCCAGCAGCCGCGGUAAUACGUAGGUGGCAAGCGUUGUCCGGAAUUAUUGGGCGUAAAGCGAGCGCAGGCGGUUUCUUAAGUCUGAUGUGAAAGCCCCCGGCUCAACCGGGGAGGGUCAUUGGAAACUGGGAGACUUGAGUGCAAAAGAGGAGAGUGGAAUUCCAUGUGUAGCGGUGAAAUGCGUAGAUAUAUGGAGGAACACCAGUGGCGAAGGCGGCUCUCUGGUCUGUAACUGACGCUGAGGCUCGAAAGCGUGGGGAGCAAACAGG